RNAcentral lists this ribosomal RNA (528 nucleotides) under Chaenotheca brunneola. Its description in RNAcentral is "eukaryotic LSU rRNA". The stretch from base 222 to 375 matches the Rfam family "5.8S ribosomal RNA". The record is from RNAcentral. Lineage: Eukaryota; Fungi; Ascomycota; Coniocybomycetes; Coniocybales; Coniocybaceae.
UCAAUCUCUCUACUCUUGAACGAAUUAUGCUAACUCCUAAAAGGUGAACCUGCGGAAGGAUCAUUACAGAGUGAGGGUCUUUGGCCCAAUCUCCCACCCAUGUGUACUUGUCCCUGUUGCCUUGGCGGGCCGAGUGAAAACCCUCUGGUUCUCCGGAGUGUGCUCGCCAAGGGUCCAUACGCUCUGUUUUAUUGAUGUCUGAGGAAAACAAAAAUAUACAAAACUUUCAACAACGGAUCUCUUGGUUCUGGCAUCGAUGAAGAACGCAGCGAAAUGCGAUAAGUAAUGUGAAUUGCAGAAUUCAGUGAAUCAUCGAAUCUUUGAACGCACAUUGCGCCCUUUGGUAUUCCGAAGGGCACACCUGUUCGAGCGUCAUCGUCACUUCAAGACUUGGUUCUUGUUGUUGAGCCUCAAUGCUUAUGCAUUGGGUUCGAAAAACAGUGGCGACGCGGCCGAUUUCUCAGCGCAGUGACUAUUACGCUCAGGAAACGGUCGGGUUGAUCUUUUAUACUUUUCAAGUUUGACCUC